RNAcentral lists this ribosomal RNA (491 nucleotides) under uncultured bacterium. Its description in RNAcentral is "partial 16S ribosomal RNA". It matches the Rfam family "Bacterial small subunit ribosomal RNA", at positions 29 to 507 of the family's 1533-position model. The record is from RNAcentral.
AGUGAACGCUGGCGGUAGGCCUAACACAUGCAAGUCGAACGGCAGCACAGUAAGAGCUUGCUCUUACGGGUGGCGAGUGGCGGACGGGUGAGGAAUACAUCGGAAUCUACUUUUUCGUGGGGGAUACGGAGGGAAACUUACGCUAAUACCGCAUACGACCUACGGGUGAAAGCAGGGGAUCUUCGGACCUUGGGCGAUUGAAUGAGCCGAUGUCGGAUUAGCUAGUUGGCGGGGUAAAGGCCCACCAAGGCGACGAUCCGUAGCUGGUCUGAGAGGAUGAUCAGCCGCACUGGAACUGAGACACGGUCCAGACUCCUACGGGAGGCAGCAGUGGGGAAUAUUGGACAAUGGGCGCAAGCCUGAUCCAGCCAUACCGCGUGGGUGAAGAAGGCCUUCGGGUUGUAAAGCCCUUUUGUUGGGAAAGAAAAGCAGCAGGUUAAUACCCCGCUGUUCUGACGGUACCCAAAGAAUAAGCACCGGCUAACUUCGUG